Molecule: long non-coding RNA, 586 nt
Organism: Antechinus flavipes (yellow-footed antechinus)
Lineage: Eukaryota; Metazoa; Chordata; Mammalia; Dasyuromorphia; Dasyuridae
Exons: 2
Source: RefSeq, a predicted model, not a curated record
CCCAUUUUGCAAAAGAGGAAACUGAAGCAGAAGUUAUGACUUGUCUUGGGUCACAUAAUUUAGAUUAAAUUUGAAUUUACAUCUUCCUAAUUCCAAGUCCAGCACUCUUUCCACUGUACCCAAGCUAUCUAAUGGAAUUAUGGAAAUAAAGCUGAAGAGUAGGUUGUGGCUAUCUUGCGUACUAGGAUAAAGAGUCUGGAUUUUAUUCUGUAGAUAACGGUACAGAUUUUGUGGCUUUACUUUUUUAAACAACAUGUCUGCAACUUUUCCAGUGAACUAAAGAAGGAAAAGGCCCAUCUCUGACCUGGAUUGAGGAGCACAUCCUUCAAGAUGCCAGUAUCCAAUAUCAGAAAUUCCCUUCACAAGUACAACCAUCCAUGCCUUUGCAUCUCCUUUGAGUUUUGUCCAUGUCUUUCUUGAAUCCUCCAUAAAGGAUUUACUCUGAAUGUUAGAGAUUCUCUCUCUAGAUUUGCUUUUACUUCAAUCCAGUGUUUCUUCCUCUUCUAAUGUGAUUGCUCCUUUCCCUCCACCCCCACACUCCACUCCUUCUGGGACCCAGAUGUUCUCAAUAAAUUUAUUUAUGUCA